RNAcentral lists this non-coding RNA (45 nucleotides) under Trichobilharzia regenti. The record is from RNAcentral. Lineage: Eukaryota; Metazoa; Platyhelminthes; Trematoda; Strigeidida; Schistosomatidae.
GUUCAAAUGAUGAGUCUCAAAUACGACGAAAUGUGCAUCUUGGAU